This 356-nucleotide long non-coding RNA is filed under the name Rattus norvegicus (Norway rat). Its description in RNAcentral is "long non-coding RNA NONRATT005551". Lineage: Eukaryota; Metazoa; Chordata; Mammalia; Rodentia; Muridae. The record is from RNAcentral.
UUGGAACUACGUGGACGCUCUGUCAAUCAUAUGGUCUCACCAGUGUGUGGUGUGCUUCCUUGCGGGUCAUACACAUGAUGGUGGCUACUCUGAGGAUCCUUUCGGCGUGCACCACGUCAACCUGGAAGGAGUUAUUGAAACAGCUCCGGACAGCCAGGCCUUUGGCACAGUUCAUGUCUACCCUGACAAAAUGCUGCUGAAAGGGAGAGGCAGAGUUCCAGACAGAAUUAUGAAUUACAAAAGGGAAUAAGCCUUGUGUUUUUGAUCCUGUUAUCUUGUUUGCUUUGUAGAAGUGAAUGGCACUGUUUUAUGUUUUACUUCAUUCCAUAAAAAGUUAAAUUCUCAGUCACACUGUU